Long non-coding RNA from Bubalus bubalis (water buffalo), 657 nucleotides. RefSeq lists it as uncharacterized. The transcript is spliced from 3 exons. Lineage: Eukaryota; Metazoa; Chordata; Mammalia; Artiodactyla; Bovidae. The record is from RefSeq and is a predicted model, not a curated record.
GGGAGGCAUUUGGCGACGAGCUGCAGACGCGGCGCGGCGCGACUAGCAGCCGGCCCGGCUCGCUCUCUGGCUCGCAGCUCUACCCUCCACCGCGGCGGGGACCGACUACCCGCCAGGACCCGAGAUGCCCAACUCCACCGCGUCCCAAUGAUCGCCUACCGAUUCUCGCUACAGAUGCCACUUUGGGAGCCAAGUCAUCUCACGCUGACACCAGGAGAUUUUUCUGUUCUAACUGUCUGCCUGGCCUUUGUGGUGAUUGCUAUCAGAAGGCUCCUGUGUCUGUGGAAUUUUCCCGGCAAGAAUACUGAAGUGGUUGCCAUGACCUCCUCCAGGGGAUUUUCCUGAUCCAGGGAUUGAACCAGCAUCUCAUGUCUCCUGCAUUAGCAGGUGGGUUCUUUACCACUAGUACCACCUGGGAAGCUCCGCCUUAAAUGGCUCCACAGCAGACCCCCACGAUGUCCACUUGGCCCUGCAGCCUUCUCCUCCUACGAUCCAGACUCAUUCAGACUCCAGCUGAUUCGCCUCUACUGCUGUGUCCAAGGUGUUCAGUUGGCCUCUGUGAUGGCUCCCUGGCCCCAGUUUCCAGUCUUCCAAGUAGGGAAGUAAUAACCCACAUGCUCUGCUUGUUGUUUAAAAAUAAAGCUCAUAAGAAGUACA